Molecule: ribosomal RNA, 485 nt
Filed under: uncultured bacterium
Lineage: Bacteria
Description: partial 16S ribosomal RNA
Rfam family: Bacterial small subunit ribosomal RNA
Source: RNAcentral
UUGAACGCUGGCGGCAUGCCUUACACAUGCAAGUCGAACGGCAGCACGGGUGCUUGCACCUGGUGGCGAGUGGCGAACGGGUGAGUAAUACAUCGGAACAUGUCCUGUAGUGGGGGAUAGCCCGGCGAAAGCCGGAUUAAUACCGCAUACGAUCCACGGAUGAAAGCGGGGGACCUUCGGGCCUCGCGCUAUAGGGUUGGCCGAUGGCUGAUUAGCUAGUUGGUGGGGUAAAGGCCUACCAAGGCGACGAUCAGUAGCUGGUCUGAGAGGACGACCAGCCACACUGGGACUGAGACACGGCCCAGACUCCUACGGGAGGCAGCAGUGGGGAAUUUUGGACAAAGGGCGAAAGCCUGAUCCAGCAAUGCCGCGUGUGUGAAGAAGGCCUUCGGGUUGUAAAGCACUUUUGUCCGGAAAGAAAUCCUUGACUCUAAUACAGUCGGGGGAUGACGGUACCGGAAGAAUAAGCACCGGCUAACUACGUG